GUCGAACGGUGAAGCCCAGCUUGCUGGGUGGAUCAGUGGCGAACGGGUGAGUAACACGUGAGUAACCUGCCCCUGACUCUGGGAUAAGCCUUGGAAACGAGGUCUAAUACCGGAUAUGUGACGUUCAGGCAUCUGAUGCGUCUGGAAAGAUUUAUCGGUCAGGGAUGGACUCGCGGCCUAUCAGCUUGUUGGUGGGGUAACGGCCUACCAAGGCGACGACGGGUAGCCGGCCUGAGAGGGCGACCGGCCACACUGGGACUGAGACACGGCCCAGACUCCUACGGGAGGCAGCAGUGGGGAAUAUUGCACAAUGGGCGCAAGCCUGAUGCAGCGACGCCGCGUGAGGGAUGAAGGCCUUCGGGUUGUAAACCUCUUUCAGCAGGGAAGAAGCGCAAGUGACGGUACCUGCAGAAGAAGCGCCGGCUAACUACGUGCCAGCAGCCGCGGUAAUACGUAGGGCGCAAGCGUUGUCCGGAAUUAUUGGGCGUAAAGAGCUCGUAGGCGGUUUGUCGCGUCUGCUGUGAAAACUCGAGGCUCAACCUCGGGCUUGCAGUGGGUACGGGCAGACUAGAGUGCGGUAGGGGAGACUGGAAUUCCUGGUGUAGCGGUGGAAUGCGCAGAUAUCAGGAGGAACACCGAUGGCGAAGGCAGGUCUCUGGGCCGCAACUGACGCUGAGGAGCGAAAGCAUGGGGAGCGAACAGGAUUAGAUACCCUGGUAGUCCAUGCCGUAAACGUUGGGCACUAGGUGUGGGGCUCAUUCCACGAGUUCCGUGCCGCAGCAAACGCAUUAAGUGCCCCGCCUGGGGAGUACGGCCGCAAGGCUAAAACUCAAAGAAAUUGACGGGGGCCCGCACAAGCGGCGGAGCAUGCGGAUUAAUUCGAUGCAACGCGAAGAACCUUACCAAGGCUUGACAUACACCGGAAACUUCCAGAGAUGGUUGCCCCGCAAGGUC
RNAcentral lists this ribosomal RNA (954 nucleotides) under Cellulomonas pakistanensis. RNAcentral describes it as "bacterial SSU rRNA". It matches the Rfam family "Bacterial small subunit ribosomal RNA", at positions 61 to 1027 of the family's 1533-position model. Lineage: Bacteria; Bacillati; Actinomycetota; Actinomycetes; Micrococcales; Cellulomonadaceae. The record is from RNAcentral.